UCUACUCUGCAUUUAAAUUUUACUUAAAGUUUCUGCAAUUUGUUCGUGCUGUUUGGCAAAAAUAUGAAAUUAUUGUUUAAAAGAUUUAAACUUUUCAUAUUUAUGUGUGAUAGAAUUACGUAACGAAUUUUAAGGUUUUUUUUUUACUAUUUUUAGGGAAGGUUGUUAGAUGCUUCGUUCUCAUUACUAGAUUCUGCUUGAAGAGACUUUGCCAUCUACGUUGAAUCUUUGUUACUCAAGUUCGACCAUUUAUCCAUGGGACUUUUCGAAGUCAGGAAGCUGAAGAAAUGCACAGUGCCAUCACCAGGAUUCGAACUCCGGACCUCCCGAAUACGCUUCGUGUGUGCUUCUGUUUACACUACGGCGUGCGGUAAGGAGGAAGCAAAUACCUUACAUACACCCCCUUUUAAAGAACGACUAGGGAUGAGGGGACCCAAUUACCAAAUCCUGGUGGUAACAGAUUAUUGUCCACCACCUUUUAGUUCGGUCACCUCUUGUACAGUCUUUUAGAAAUUUUCUUGUCAAGAAACUGAAGAAAUCUGCACUGCCUUCUACGGAACUCGAACUUCGCGCCCCUCUCGAAGGCGAUACAUGUCGAGUGUGCUUCCAGUUACAUGAUGAAGGCAAGCGAAGAGGAGGUAGAAAAUACCUUAUAAAUUUCAUGAGUUGAUUUAUGUUGUUAAUUUUAAUGCUCAUUCAUUGUUACGCAAAAUUUGAAUUACAUUGUAAAAUAGAAACAAUAAAAUAAUUGAUCCACCUUUA
This is a long non-coding RNA of Stegodyphus dumicola, 762 nucleotides long. RefSeq lists it as uncharacterized. Lineage: Eukaryota; Metazoa; Arthropoda; Arachnida; Araneae; Eresidae. The record is from RefSeq and is a predicted model, not a curated record.